CCCUUAGAUGUUCUGGGCCGCACGCGUGCUACACUGAGUGGAUCAGCGGGUCAGGUUGCGCGAAAGCGUUGCCUAAUCUUUAAAUCCGCUCGUGAUGGGGAUUGACGGUUGCAAUUUUCUGUCAUGAACGAGGAAUACCUUGUAAGCGCGGGUCAUCAUCCCGCGCUGAAUACGUCCCUGCCCUUUGUACACACCGCCCGUCGCUCCUACCGAUUGAGUGGUCCGGUGAGGCUUUGGGAUCUGAGCGGAAAGAGCGUUUCGCUGUUUCUGCUCGGAAAACUCAGUCGAACCUUAUCAUUUAGAGGAAGGAGAAGUCGUAACA
This 322-nucleotide ribosomal RNA is filed under the name uncultured eukaryote. RNAcentral's name for it is "partial 18S ribosomal RNA". It matches the Rfam family "Eukaryotic small subunit ribosomal RNA", at positions 1470 to 1796 of the family's 1831-position model. The record is from RNAcentral.